RNAcentral lists this ribosomal RNA (253 nucleotides) under uncultured bacterium. RNAcentral describes it as "partial 16S ribosomal RNA". It matches the Rfam family "Bacterial small subunit ribosomal RNA", at positions 524 to 776 of the family's 1533-position model. The record is from RNAcentral.
UACGUAGGGUGCGAGCGUUAAUCGGAAUUACUGGGCGUAAAGCGUGCGCAGGCGGCCGCGCAAGUCGAGUGUGAAAUCCCCGAGCUUAACUUGGGAAUUGCGCUCGAAACUACGUGGCUGGAGUGUGGCAGAGGAAGGUGGAAUUCCACGUGUAGCGGUGAAAUGCGUAGAUAUGUGGAGGAACACCGAUGGCGAAGGCAGCCUUCUGGGCCAACACUGACGCUCAUGCACGAAAGCGUGGGGAGCAAACAGG